Non-coding RNA from Schistosoma haematobium, 45 nucleotides. The record is from Rfam. Lineage: Eukaryota; Metazoa; Platyhelminthes; Trematoda; Strigeidida; Schistosomatidae.
ACCUAGCUGACGAGUCAUAACUAGGACGAAACGCAAGUCCUGGAU